This 1133-nucleotide long non-coding RNA is filed under the name Capsicum annuum. RNAcentral's name for it is "long non-coding RNA (CANN_LNC006323)". Lineage: Eukaryota; Viridiplantae; Streptophyta; Magnoliopsida; Solanales; Solanaceae. The record is from RNAcentral.
AAAGCAACACCUUUCAUGAUAUUCACCCUUUUAAGCCAAUCCAAUUUCUUGGACUCAGCUUCAUUGGUCAAAAUACUAGACAAACUCCCCCUCUCCGCAUACUCGUAAACCAAGAACGAGUGUUGUGCAUGCGAACAAUAGCCAUAGAGGUUCACAAUGUUCCGGUGCUUAAUCCCAGUCAAUGACCUUAUUUCAUUCAUGAAGCUUCUGGGAUGUGUAUUCUCAACUGAAGAAUUAAGUCUCUUCACAGCUAUGGUCCCUAAUGAUGGAAGGUUUACCUUGUAAACACUUCCAUGCCCUCCUUGCCCAAUGCAAAAUUUUGCAUCAAAUUCUUCUGUAGCAUUUAAGAUGUCCUUAUACAAUGCCCUUCCAUCUAACAUGGAUAUCGAAAGCCAACCAUCAUNNNNNNNNNNNNNNNNNNNNNNNNNNNNNNNAGAUGCUUUCCUUUGAUUAUCUCCAAUGCUAAUACUCCAAAGCUACAGACAUCACACAUUGGUGUAACCUUCAUUGUAUAUGCAAGCUCUGAAACAACACAAUUUCCAAAAAAAAGGUAUAACAAUUUAAAUGUGCAAAUGAGAUUAAAGCAGUACAGACUGGUAUGUUAUAGUUCAUGAAGUUUAAACAGGAUAAAAAUUAAAGUUAGACCUUACCAGGUGCAACAUAGCCAUAUGUGCCUGCAAGCGCGGUGCAAUUGGAUGAGUCUGGCUUAAGAAGCUUAGCAAUGCCAAAAUCUGAAACACGAGCUUCAUAUUCGGAAUCAAGCAAAACAUUACUGCUUGAUAUGUCUCGAUGAACAAUCGGUGGUGAGCAAUCCUCGUGCAUGUAAGAUAAAGCAAAAGCAACACCUUUCAUGAUAUUCACCCUUUUAAGCCAAUCCAAUUUCUUGGACUAAGCUUCAUUGGUCAAAAUACUAGACAAACUCCCCCUCUCCGCAUACUCGUAAACCAAGAACGAGUGUUGUGCAUGCGAACAAUAGCCAUAGAGGUUCACAAUGUUCCGGUGCUUAAUCCCAGUCAAUGCCCUUAUUUCAUUCAUGAAGCUUUUGGGAUGUGUAUUCUCAACUGAAGAAUUAAGUCUCUUCACAGCUAUGGUCCCUAAUGAGGGAAGGUUUACCUUGUAAACACUUCCAUGCC